AGGAUGAACGCUGGCGGUCUGCUUAACACAUGCAAGUCGAACGGAGUAGCAAUACUUAGUGGCGGACGGGUGAGUAACGCGUGAGAAUCUACCUUCAGGACGGAGACAACAGUUGGAAACGACUGCUAACCCCCGAUGUACUGAAAAGGCAAAUAUUUAUAGCCUGAAGAAGAGCUCGCGUCCGAUUAGCUAGUUGGAGAGGUAAAAGCUCACCAAGGCGACGAUCGGUAGCUGGUCUGAGAGGACGAUCAGCCACACUGGGACUGAGACACGGCCCAGACUCCUACGGGAGGCAGCAGUGGGAAUUUUCCGCAAUGGGCGAAAGCCUGACGGAGCAAGACCGCGUGGGGGAAGAAGGCUCUUGGGUUGUAAACCCCUUUUCUCUGGAAGAACACAAUGACGGUACCAGAGGAAUCAGCAUCGGCUAACUCCGUGCCAGCAGCCGC
RNAcentral lists this ribosomal RNA (446 nucleotides) under uncultured bacterium. RNAcentral's name for it is "SSU rRNA". It matches the Rfam family "Bacterial small subunit ribosomal RNA", at positions 26 to 518 of the family's 1533-position model. The record is from RNAcentral.